This 3276-nucleotide ribosomal RNA is filed under the name Triticum aestivum (bread wheat). RNAcentral describes it as "partial small subunit ribosomal RNA". The record is from RNAcentral. Lineage: Eukaryota; Viridiplantae; Streptophyta; Magnoliopsida; Poales; Poaceae.
AUGACGAAGCUCAAGAGCCUAACGUCGUCGGUGGGGAAGGCGGAGUGCGCGGGGAGCGCUCGGCAGAUUGCCGGGUCGUCGAUGAAGCUGCUGGUGCGCGUCGUCGAGGCGCGGGGCCUGCUGCCGGUGCACCUCAACGGCUCCAGCGACCCCUUCGUCAAGCUGCAGCUCGGCAAGCGCCGCGCCAAGACGGCCGUCGUCAAGAAGAGCCUCACCCCCGUCUGGGACGAGGAGUUCAGCUUCCUCGUCGGCGACGUCACCGAGGAGCUCUCCGUAUCCGUGCUCAACGAGGACAAGUACUUCACCAACGACCUCCUCGGCAAGGUCAAGGUGCCGCUCUCCAUGGUCAUGGAGGCCCCGGACCUCUCCCUCGGCACCGCCUGGUACCAGCUCCAGCCCAAGAGCAAGAAGUCCAAGAAGAAAGAACGCGGGGAAAUUUGCCUGCGCAUAUCCUUGUCUACGCGCGCGCACGUGUCCGAAGAAUCACACCAGCUACCACAACCCACUUCGGAUGGCAUGGCGUCCAGUUCAGACAGGUCAAUUGGGAACAAAGAUGGAGCUUUGUCAACCAGCAAUAGCUACAUUGACAUGUCAGCCCUUUCCAGUUUGGACCGAUCAUCGCAGGGAAGUACGGAACGAUUGGGGGAUGGUGCUGUAGACCAACCGCCCCAGACCAGCAUUGACCAAGCAGUCACUGAACCUGGAACCGCUGUUUGUAAUGAUGCGAUGGCGAAUACAUCGUCGGUGGUAGAGGUCUUGUCUCGCUAUUUCUUUGGGAAACCUGCUGAUACUAAUCUGCCUUCCAUCGUUGCCUCUGACGCCGAGUCGGUGGUGGAGCAGUCCGAAGAGCCAAAAGUUUGCUCUGUAGACCGUGAAAGUCCCGAGAAUGGCACGCCAUCCGAGUCAAACCUUGAUGAGCUACUGAAAAUCAUGGAGUCCAAAGAUCAAGGCUGUGAAAUGCCAGCAAAAUUGUCUAACGGCGUUCUAGUUGACGAAUCUUAUGUUAUCGCACCAGCUGGACUGAAUUCCCUCUUGUUUACUCCAAAUUCAGAUUUCUGGCCAGCAGUAGCAGAGCUUCAAGGAACAAGUGGAUUUCAGAUUGAACCAUGGAAGAUCGAUAGCAACGAUGGUUGUUUGCGAAGAACAUUAAGUUACAUAAAGGCCGCUAGUAAGCUGGUUAAAGCUUGCAAAGCCACAGAAGAGCAGAAAUACUUAAAAGCAGCUGGGAAUUCUUUCGCUGUUUUGUCUAUUGUUAGCACUCCUGAUGUUCCUUAUGGCAGUUGUUUCAAGAUAGAGAUAUUGUACUGUAUAACGCCAGGUCCCCAGUUAUCAUCUGAAGAGCAAACAGCACAUCUUACUGUAAGUUGGCGGAUCAACUUUCUUCAGAGCACAAUGAUGAAAGGAAUGAUUGAGAGUGGUGCAAAACAAGGCAUGUCAGAAGGUUUUGCACAAUUUUCUGAAGUACUGUCCCAAAGGUUUAAAGUAGCUGAGCUUGAUGAUGCCAAUUCAAACAAAGCAAAGAUUUUAGCCUCACUACAAGCACAUAAAGAACCAAGCUGGAGGUUGAUUGUCCGCUUCCUUGGGAACUUCACAUUCAUAUUCUCUGUUAUCAUAGGGAUAUAUGUUAUAGUUCACCUUCAUUUAUCAAGGCCCAAAGUGAUGAAUGGGCUUGAAUAUUUUGGCAUUGACCUUCCAGAUUCAAUUGGAGAGGUUGUGGUUUGUGCUGUCUUGAUCCUUCAGGGACAGACCAUCCUGAAAGUAAUAAAGCGCUUCUUGAAUGCAUGGAGACAAAGAGGUAGUGAUCAUGGAGUCAAAGCUCAUGGAGAUGGCUGGUUACUGACUGUUGCACUUAUUGAGGGUACUGGUAUACUAUCUGCUGGUUCAUCUAAACCAUUUGACCUAUAUGCUGUUUUUACCUGCAACACGAAGAGGAAAACAAGCUCAAUUAAAUUCCACGCAUCUGAUCCAAAAUGGAACGAGAUAUUUGAAUUUGAUGCAAUGGAUGAUCCACCAUCAAGGAUGGAUGUAGCUAUUCAUGAUUCGAAUCAAUUAGAUGAAGCUCCCAUUGGUCACGCCGAAGUGAACUUCCUGAAGAGCAAUUUGUCAGAUUUAAUGGACAUAUGGGUUCCUCUUGAUGGGAAGUGUGAUCCAGCAAGCAACCCUAAGCUACAUUUGAGAAUAUUUUUGAACAACUCGAGAGGAACUGAAGUUGUUCUGAAUUACCUGGCAAAGAUGGGGAAUGAAGUCGGUAAGAAGAUAAAUUUGCGGUCAGCACAAACAAAUUUAGCAUUCCGAAAGCUCUUUAACCUCCCUCCUGAAGAAUUCCUCAUCGAUGAUUUCACCUGUCAUCUAAAACGGAAGAUGCCACUUCAGGGACGCGUAUUUUUUUCUCCAAGAAUAAUUGGAUUCUACUCUAAUAUAUUUGGUCACAAGACCAAGUUUUUCUUUCUGUGGGAAGACGUUGAUGAUAUCCAGGUUAUCCCUCCUACACUGUCAAUUGGCAGCCCAUCCUUGAUGGUUAUCCUUAGAAAGGAUAGAGGGUCAGAAGCAAAACAUGGUGCCAAGGCAACAGAUCAUCAUGGAAGACUCAAGUUCCAUUUUCAGUCCUUUGUUUCGUUCAAUGAUGCUCACAGAAUAAUCAUGGGGAUUUGGAAAAUGCGAUCACCGGGUCAAGAACAGAAAGGAGAGGUAAUUGAGGAGUCUGAACCAAAAGAACUCCAGGCGGAAGAAUGUGGAUCCUUAUUUACCCAUGAGGAUGUCAAAAUGUCUGAAAUAUUCUCAUCAGUUCUUUCUGUGGACGUUGAGUCCUUGAUGGAGAUGUUUUCAGGAGGUCAGUUGGAACACAAAGUGAUGCAAAAGACUGGCUGUCUGGACUACUCAUCAACAGAAUGGGAACUUGUAAGCAGAAAUAUAUUCAAGCGGCAAAUCAGCUACAAGUUUGACAAAGCAUUGUCUCGAUAUGGAGGAGAAGCAAGCACCACUCAGCAGAAGUAUGCCCUAGUGAACCAAGAUGGCUGGGCCAUUGAAGAGGUGAUGACCCUCCAAGGUGUUCUACUUGGGGACUACUUUAAUCUCCAGCUAAAGUAUCAUAUGGCGAACAUACCGUCAAAACCAAACACCUGCAGCGUGCAGGUUUUAUUGGGGAUUGCCUGGUUGAAAAGCACCAAGCAACAAAAGAAGAUCACAAAAAAUAUCAUGUCCAACACCUCGAAUAGAUUGAAGGAGCUCUUUUCCUUAGUCGAGAAGGAUCUUACGUCAAGAAACGGUGGAAGCUAA